This is a non-coding RNA of Ictidomys tridecemlineatus (thirteen-lined ground squirrel), 2198 nucleotides long. The record is from RefSeq and is a predicted model, not a curated record. Lineage: Eukaryota; Metazoa; Chordata; Mammalia; Rodentia; Sciuridae.
CCAGUGGUGCAGAGACGUCGGUCGAGCGGCGGCGAACAUGCGCUGUUGACAUUUUGGAGGCUUUCUUGAUCAUGGAUGGUGAAGAGAUACCAGAUUUUUCAAGUUUAAAGGAGGAAACUGCUUAUUGGAAGGAACUUUCCUUGAAGUAUAAACAAAGCUUCCAGGAAGCUCAUGAUGAGCUGGUUGAAUUCCAGGAGGGAAGCAGAGAAUUAGAAGCAGAGUUGGAGGCACAAUUAGUACAGGCUGAACAAAGAAACAGAGACCUGCAAGCUGAUAACCAAAGACUGAAAUAUGAAGUGGAGGCGUUAAAGGAAAAACUAGAACAUCAGUACGCACAGAGCUACAAGCAGGUCUCAGUCUAAUGAUUUAGGUCAGACCCGGGCCAUGAAAGAGCAGUUGCAUAAAUAUGUGAGAGAGCUGGAACAGGCCAAUGAUGACCUGGAGCGAGCAAAGAGGGCGACAAUAGUUAGUUUCACUGGAAGACUUUGAACAAAGGCUAACUCAGGCCAUUGAAUGAAAUGCAUUUUUAGAAAAUGAACUCGAUGAAAAGGAAUCCUUGUUGGUUUCUGUACAGAGGUUAAAGGAUGAAGCAAGAGACUUAAGGCAAGAACUAGCAGUUCGGGAGAGACAACAGGAAGUGACCCGAAAGUCAGCUCCCAGUUCUCCCACGUUGGACUGUGAGAAGAUGGAUUCUGCUGUCCAGGCUUCACUCUCUUUGCCAGCUACUCCUGUUGGCAAAGGAACAGAAAAUAGUUUUCCUUCACCAAAAGCUAUACCAAAUGGUUUUGGAACCAGUCCACUAACUCCUUCUGCUAGGAUAUCAGCACUAAACAUCGUGGGGAUCUCUUAAGGAAAGUAGGAGCUUUAGAAUCCAAAUUAGCAGCUUGCAGGAAUUUUGCAAAGGACCAAGCAUCACGAAAAUCCUAUAUUUCAGGGAAUGUGAACUGUGGAGUGAUGAAUAGCAAUGGCACAAAGUUCCCUCCAUCAGGGCACACGUCUUUCUUUGACAAAGGGGCAGUGAACGGCUUUGACCCAGCUCCUCCUCCUCCUGGUCUGGGCUCUUCGCGCCCCUCUUCAGCUCCGGGUAUGCUGCCUCUCAGUGUGAGUGCCCGGCCUCCAGGUGGGGGCUCCUGCCCUCCUCCAACAGCCCAGGACACCCACGCCUUCACCCCUUGGUGCCUGGCCCCAGCCCUGUGCCCUUCCAUCUGCCUCCCCAUGGCUGGCAGAGGGCAGGCUGCAUGCAGUGGUGGCUGCUGGGCCCUGCCCAGCCCCAGGACUCUGCGCAAUAUCAAUACUGGCUAUUUUUUUCUUCUCGCCCGUAGUGCCGUUGGUUUCACGUGAUUGCACUUUUGUGGGUCACAAGGUGAUACAUACGUGUAUUAGUUGGUUACUGGAUGCAGAAGUAUCAUUCAUCACACCUGCCUCAUAGCCCCCACUCUACUGUACUGAUAGGAUUUAGUUGUGGUUAGGACAUUGCAGAUCUUCUAGAAGUUUUUCCCCAAAUCAGGUUUACAUGUGCCCUCUCCUGAGCUCCCACCCAUGCAUCUUCAGUGCUCAUGAUCAUGUGUCUCCCAACUUCAUCCCCACAGUUUGAACUGUUUCUGGCAGAGUCAGGAAGGUCGCUGAAUUAGGGCAACAUUGUCUAUACCUUCUGAUUUUAUGUAAGCAGUUACCAUUCCAUAGGCUUGCCUCCAAAGCAGCAAGAUGCCCUCUGAGUGGCAGGUGGCAGGAACCUCCAGGCCUGGGCACUCACAGGGCUGAGCUUCCAUGCUGCUGCUUCGUCCAUGUGCCUCAGAGGUGGGUGGCAACUUCCUCACCAGCUUUCUGGUCCUUCAGUUAAAUGCCAUCUUCAGAACAUUUUUGUUUUAUCCUCUGAGGGUCCGCCCAGUUGCAUUGGGAAGGAUUGAGUGGCCUGAUUCUGGGGGCUGGCUGAUGCCAGCUCCUGGUGGCAGACUGACCAAAAGUGGUUGUCCCUGUGCAACCUUUGGUUACUCUCAUGUUGCAUUUACUGUUUAAAUUUGUUUUAUUGUACAUAGGUUUGUAAACAUUAUUGCCUAAGAUGUUUAUAUAUAACUUGGGCUUUGUAGCUUUUAUUUAUUCAGAACUCAUAUGGCAUGUUAAUGACUUAUGAUGGUGUCCUUCUCUGGGGCAGCUGUAUAGGAUCAUCAUGUGGCUAAAAAAAAAAGAAAAAAAGAAAA